RNAcentral lists this transfer RNA (70 nucleotides) under Plestiodon parvulus. Its description in RNAcentral is "tRNA-Gln". It matches the Rfam family "tRNA". Rfam says of the family: Transfer RNA (tRNA) molecules are approximately 80 nucleotides in length. Their secondary structure includes four short double-helical elements and three loops (D, anti-codon, and T loops). Further hydrogen bonds mediate the characteristic L-shaped molecular structure. tRNAs have two regions of fundamental functional importance: the anti-codon, which is responsible for specific mRNA codon recognition, and the 3' end, to which the tRNAs corresponding amino acid is attached (by aminoacyl-tRNA synthetases). tRNAs cope with the degeneracy of the genetic code in two manners: having more than one tRNA (with a specific anti-codon) for a particular amino acid; and 'wobble' base-pairing, i.e. permitting non-standard base-pairing at the 3rd anti-codon position. Lineage: Eukaryota; Metazoa; Chordata; Lepidosauria; Squamata; Scincidae. The record is from RNAcentral.
UAGGGAAUAGUAUAGUGGAAGUACGUGGGGUUUUGAGCCCCUUGGUGCAGGUUCAAAUCCUUUUUUUCUA